GGAAGCGAAAGUGGUCCGGUGACCGCCCCGGUCUUCAAAACCGGUGUUCGGCAGGCUCGUCCUGUCGAGGGUGUGUUCGACUCGCACACGCUUCC
This 95-nucleotide transfer RNA is filed under the name Candidatus Koribacter versatilis Ellin345. Its description in RNAcentral is "Selenocysteine transfer RNA". It matches the Rfam family "Selenocysteine transfer RNA". Lineage: Bacteria; Pseudomonadati; Acidobacteriota; Terriglobia; Terriglobales; Candidatus Korobacteraceae. The record is from Rfam by way of RNAcentral.